GAUGAACGCUGGCGGCGUGCCUAAUACAUGCAAGUCGAGCGAACAGACGAGGAGCUUGCUCCUCUGACGUUAGCGGCGGACGGGUGAGUAACACGUGGAUAACCUACCUAUAAGACUGGGAUAACUUCGGGAAACCGGAGCUAAUACCGGAUAAUAUAUUGAACCGCAUGGUUCAAUAGUGAAAGACGGUUUUGCUGUCACUUAUAGAUGGAUCCGCGCCGCAUUAGCUAGUUGGUAAGGUAACGGCUUACCAAGGCAACGAUGCGUAGCCGACCUGAGAGGGUGAUCGGCCACACUGGAACUGAGACACGGUCCAGACUCCUACGGGAGGCAGCAGUAGGGAAUCUUCCGCAAUGGGCGAAAGCUUGACGGAGCAACGCCGCGUGAGUGAUGAAGGUCUUCGGAUCGUAAAACUCUGUUAUUAGGGAAGAACAAAUGUGUAAGUAACCAUGCACGUCUUGACGGUACCUAAUCAGAGAGCCACGGCUAACUACGUG
This 497-nucleotide ribosomal RNA is filed under the name uncultured bacterium. RNAcentral describes it as "partial 16S ribosomal RNA". It matches the Rfam family "Bacterial small subunit ribosomal RNA", at positions 28 to 507 of the family's 1533-position model. The record is from RNAcentral.